This 253-nucleotide ribosomal RNA is filed under the name uncultured bacterium. RNAcentral describes it as "partial 16S ribosomal RNA". It matches the Rfam family "Bacterial small subunit ribosomal RNA", at positions 524 to 776 of the family's 1533-position model. The record is from RNAcentral.
UACGGAGGGUGCAAGCGUUAUCCGGAUUCAUUGGGUUUAAAGGGUCCGUAGGCGGUUUUAUAAGUCAGUGGUGAAAUCCGGUAGCUCAACUAUCGAACGGCCAUUGAUACUGUAGAACUUGAAUUAUUGUGAAGUAACUAGAAUAUGUAGUGUAGCGGUGAAAUGCUUAGAUAUUACAUGGAAUACCAAUUGCGAAGGCAGGUUACUAACAAUACAUUGACGCUGAUGGACGAAAGCGUGGGGAGCGAACAGG